CAGGGAAGAAGAAGGCAGAAUCAGGGAGAUGCCAGCAGCCACAGGGGAAGCAAGAUGUGAGAUGAGAAACUGUGAGUUCCUUCCAGGCUAAUAAUAAUUGAUCAAGUGAGACCCCCUGAGAGGCCUCCAAUGAAAGAUAUGGCCCAGUGAAACACAUCUGCUCCUGGUAGCACCAAUUACUUAAAGAAGAUGAUGGGCAUCAAAGAAGCUCCUUAUGGAGCUUGCUUUCAAAGUGGCAAGAAACUGUUUUUGCCUGUACUGCUUGAUGGCAUGCUGUAUAAACUGGACAUGUAGGACCCAUAGGAAAAUGAUUGCUGAAUUUGCCAAAACAAGAUGGGAUGAUCCUUCAGGAUUCAUGCUUCAUGAAAGAGUCUGCCAGACAUUCUGAAGGACACAGAGGAAAAUGACUAAUGAAUUUUGCCAAAAUAGGCAAAGUCCCUUCAAAGUCCCUCCUUCAUUGAGAAAUCUGUCUAUGCUCUAUGCCUAAAGGCUGAAGAUGGAUGCCCCAACACUACAGAAGGACUUUGGGUGACUGUCCAGGCAUCUAGAUGCCUUUGUCAUUUCUAGAGUUUUGGAAGUUGCUUACAAUGCACUUCCUGUUUACUUAGGUAAUAUUAUAUCCUUCUGGGAUCUUUGAUGGAGCUG
RNAcentral lists this long non-coding RNA (645 nucleotides) under Cricetulus griseus (Chinese hamster). RNAcentral describes it as "lncRNA (ENSCGRG00015039639.1)". Lineage: Eukaryota; Metazoa; Chordata; Mammalia; Rodentia; Cricetidae. The record is from RNAcentral.